CCAUGCUGAACUUAUCGGUGCGUAUUGCCUGGCGGACGCGCACCUAAACUGUGUGACAGCGUACGCGGUGGCAGGCGGGUGGCGGUGCUGGAUCCCCCGCAGUGGCUAUAGGCCGGAGCGGCGCUUGGCUGCGAGGGCCGCUUGAGGCUCCGCGGAGCUUUAAUUUUUGAUUCUUUUUGGAAGAAAUGAGAGGAUCUGUUUUCUGGUAUUUGGAACUGUUAAAAAAUGACAUCCACCUUGACAAGACCACAACUCCAUCUGAACAAAGUGACUCCAAAGCAUGAUGGCCCCUCCACCAUGUUUGUGGGCCUGGUGUUCUUUUGGUGAGGCAAAACUUUUUGAGUUUAGUUUCGUCAGACCAUAGCACAGUCUCUUACAAGGCUAUGGGAGGUUUUAGCUCUGUUUCUGAUAUGAAGGACACAAAAGAUUCUUGUUUCAUACAAAACACAACCAAUCCUUGUUAGAAAUCCCUUCAGCUCCUUUUGUGUUACCGUCAGCCUCUUUGCAUCCCCACUGACCACCAAAUCUUUUGGAAACCCAUUUGCUAUAUACUAUGUCUUCACUGUGACAUAGUGUACAUGUGGCAUUGCAGAACUUUGUAACUGUUCUCUGAACUGGUACCUUUAUACAAUGAGAUUCUUUUCAAUUUCUCUUCAGAGACAGAGUGUAGAUCUCUGAGGAGCCAACCUGCUCAACAAACACCAAUGAGAUUAGAAGCAGAUAUCGAACUCUUUCAAGAAACAGAAAUGAACACCAUAUCCAAAAUUCCCACAGUAAUGUAGUUGGGUACGCCGACUUCGUCCCACAGUGCAAAAACAUGUCUGUAAGGUUAUCCGUCUUUCUAAAUGUCUUUAGGUCUGAGUGUGUUCAUGGUUGCUUGUCCUCUGUGUCUCUGUGUUGCCAUGGGAUGAACUGGCAACCUGUCUAGGUUGUACACCCUCCACUGGUGGGAAUAAGCACCAGUGGAGGGUCCCCACUGGGCUAGUAGGUAGACAAUGAAUUCAUGGAUAUUUGAAUCAUUCUAGCAAAUGGUGUUUGGUUAAAACCAUUAAACUUCAAAUCUGAGUCUUAUAUUAUAGAAAUAAUGUAGAAGUUUCUUUCCGUGGAGAGAAACUGGUCAAUUUUAAUACAUUGUUUUGAUUAUCCUUUCAACCAUUUUGAUAUCAAUUGAAUUUGAUGUAAUGCAUGAACAUGUAAUUCCUAAUCUUAAAGGUUUUUUAAUAUUAAUGUAUUUAGGAUAUGUUGUGUGUAGAAUUGCAAAAUAGACUUUAUAUUUUAGUGCUUCCAGACAAAAUGGAGCACUGGACACUUCAAAAACUUUAGCUAGACCCCAGCCUCUGCCUCCUAGCCACCUUCUCAAGAAGAGUUCAUUUAUUUACGUUCUGAGAAAUUUAGAAAAGUUUCCACUUAAAUUAAAAUGAAUACGAUUCUGUUCCUCCAAUUCAAAAAUGGACACCGUGCAAAUUUAUCAUUUUGCCAGUGAGAUAGCUCCGUAGCGUCCUAUAAAAAAAUGCUUCCCGUUUUUUUCUCCUUCUUUUGCCUUCUCUCUUUUUGUGGUUUCUAUUUAGAAAUUCUGCAAGCUCAAAACCUCUCACAUAGGAAUGCUCAUGCAAUCCUGACCUGUUUAAGCUGUAUAACGUUGAUAGGUUGUCAGGCCCCCAGCGAAAAGGCCCAGAAUAAAGCGAGCUAUCUUUUAAAUUGCCAGGGUGAUAUUUGCAGAUAAUAAAAGAGAUAAAUCAGACAAUGUGGCUGAAUAUUUCAUUUGUUAUCCAUAUUCCUUAUGGGCAAAAAAUGCUACAGAAAUGUAAAAACAGCAAUUCCACUUUACCCCCUCUGGAAUUGUAACACUUGAGAUGCUGUUUUCAUGUCUGAAGACAAAGUGCGUGCUCUCCUUCAGCCUGCAACAGAUAAAUCUAAUAGGCAGCCAGAAUUACUGGUUGUAAUGUUGUGUAGUCUUAACCCAGUCUGCUCUCUCACUGGUUUUAUUUCUGUCAAUCUCUCAAACUAAUGGAUACUCGGCAGAAAUAGCUGGAGAAUGCUUUCUAUUUAUAGAUUUAUAGAAUGCAGCGCAAGGGCAAAAAGAAGGUAUAGUAAUAGUACUGUUUUCUAAAGUGCACAUGAUGACGAUAUGUGUACAUUUUCAUUAUUAGUAUGUAUUUUUUUUCUCUUUAAAUUGUAAGCAGCAAUAACACUCCAGCAAACUGUAUUCAGCUCCCCUUUACAUUCACAUUCCAGAAUAAAACCUAGUGGAAGCAGUUGCAUUCAUAAAUCACUUUGUUAGCAAUUAGUCAGCCUGUAUGUGAUUUGGUUAACGAAGACCAAGGAAAACAUCAGAUGGGGACAAAGAAAUGGAGAGGCUUAAAGCAGGGCUAGGUUUUGAACAAUAUUCUAAGUUUUGAUCAUUUUAUGAGCGCUGUCCAAUUCAUCGUCUGGGAAUGGACAGAGUAUAACCUUGGUUGUGUCCAAAUUCAGGGGCUGCAUCCUUUGAAGGACCUGGUCUACCCUGUUGAUGUGGCCUGGGACAUUUGUUGACUGCAAAGACCAGAAAAUCAAGACAGACAACAGAAAGCCUGCCAAAACCUGACCAUGCACCUAAAAGGGCAAGGAAACAGAGCAGCAGCCAGAAAGGCCGUGGUAACUCUGGGGGACCAGCAGAGAUCUCCAGCUCAGUGAGGGAAAGAGGGGAUCCAUUUCUCCCAAGGUGAGCAACUCUCUCCAAUACCCUGAUGUUAAAUAAACACACCAAGACCUCUGGCCACCUCACUUCAGCUACUGGAACACCACUGGUGUGUCUGGAUGAUGGAGGGCUUUUGUUAUCUAUCGCCCCUGCAUUCUGCUGAGAGGCCAAGGAGACGGCCGGUCACACCAGUCUGAAUAACAUCUGAUUGAAGAGGGAGAGAGAGCGGCUCAGUGUGUGUUUCAUCACCUGUGAAGCCAAUGAGGGAGAGCGUCUCCGCGUCAACAACUGUAAAGCGUAUCCCAGCUUCUGCCGUCUCCGCUGCCACGCUACACUAACCAAGAAUGUGUAUUUCUGCAGAUGAUU
This is a non-coding RNA of Poecilia reticulata (guppy), 3043 nucleotides long. NCBI's taxonomy places the organism in Eukaryota, Metazoa, Chordata, Actinopteri, Cyprinodontiformes, Poeciliidae. The record is from RefSeq and is a predicted model, not a curated record.